UACGUAGGUGGCGAGCGUUGUCCGGAAUUACUGGGCGUAAAGGGUGCGUAGGCGGUUGAUUAAGUCAGAUGUGAAAUUCCGGGGCUCAACUUCGGAAUUGCAUUUGAAACUGGUCAACUAGAGUGCAGGAGAGGAAAGCGGAAUUCCUAGUGUAGCGGUGAAAUGCGUAGAUAUUAGGAAGAACACCAGUGGCGAAGGCGGCUUUCUGGACUGUAACUGACGCUGAGGCACGAAAGCGUGGGGAGCAAACAGG
Molecule: ribosomal RNA, 253 nt
Filed under: uncultured bacterium
Lineage: Bacteria
Description: partial 16S ribosomal RNA
Rfam family: Bacterial small subunit ribosomal RNA
Source: RNAcentral